CAUAAAUCUUACAUAUUUUCCAAUCCAGAGAUCAACAAUUUCACACUGGUAUAAUCACUUGAGCGUACAAGCAGAGCAUCCCCUGAGGCAAACUAAUUCCUAGGAUGGUAGUAAGGGAAGACGGUGUAGAAGGUCUGCAGGAAGGUGAAAACAAGAACGAAAACUGCUGCGAUCAAGGAAAGGAUGGCCCACGGGUUGCCGAAAUAGUCCCUGACCAGCUUCGCCCUCCACUUGGGCCAAUCGGAAUCGCAGUACUUCCUCACGUCCCGGAACAACCCGGCGAGGUAGUGCUUCUCGAAAUCCAUGGCGGCGCAGUCGGAGAGCUGGUUGAAGAACACCGCCAGCUCCUUGUCGCUCGCCAGCUUGUUCUCCAGGAUCCCGCUCUGGUGGAGUAUCGCGACGUCUGCCGGCGUGUCGAUGAUGCAGUCCAUGAACGUCGCGUAGCUCGUCAUGUACGCCUCCUCCGGCUUGCACCCGCCGCACUGCUCGAAUGCCACGAGGUUCGUGAACCGCGAUAACGUCGAGUUCUCCACCGAGAGGAAUGGGAUCUCGAGCACGCCGUCGUGAAAUGCGACGUCCAGGAACGAACCGGGAUGAUGCUGAUCACUCUCGUUCCUUUUCCUCUUCUCGCCCUUCCUCUUAAACGUCACUCCGGCCUCCUCGAGCUCGGUCGCGGACGGAAUCGUAUUCGGCGAUCUUUUCUUAUCCGCCGGCGCCUGCGAUCGGGAAAUCUUUAAUCGGAGAUAAGAGAGGAGGGAGGCGAAGAUCUUAGUCGGCUUUAACCAUUUGAGAAUAGUACCGCAGAUGGUACUGCCCCUCGGGUCAGUUUGUGGUUUCGUGAUGUAGCAGCGGUAGUAGAGAUGCAACAGGUGGUGGAAAUCUUUGGCUUCGCCGUGCACGGAAGCGGCGGCGGCGGAGACGCGACUGGCCAGCAUCUCUUCCUCGGGCCUCUCGACGUUUCUGCUCGCGAGGUAGUUCACGAGAAGCUCCAUCAGGGAGGGUAUCUCCUCGUCGUCCAUGGUGAACGUGACGAGCUCGAACAGCUUCUCGAGCACGAAGAGGGGGAUCUGGUUCUCGAGCAGGAGCAGGUCGCCGCGCACGAGCGGCAAGCUCCAUCCGGCGGUGCAGACGCUGUCGUCGUCCCCCUGGCUCCACUUGAUGAUGAACUCGAGGACAAAGCACCCGUCGAGGAGCAGCAUCUCCACGAACUUCUCGGCGCUGAGCUCGACGGGCUCGAAGUAGCACCGCCGCGCCCGAGGCUCCAGCUCCCGGAUCUCGGCUACAUGGCGCGGAGGACGGGGCGGUCGACGCGGCUGUAGGGGUUGCGGGAGAGGAAGUCCUGCAGGUAGCGCCACUUGUGCUGCUCCAUGGCGCGGAGGACGGGGCGGUCGCCGCGGCCGUAGGGGCCGACGGACACCAUCCGGGGCUCGUAGAGGUGCGUGUUGCGCUGCCGGACGUGGGCCGGGACGCGGAAGAUGGUGAAGCUCUCCGGCGCCAUCGGGUUGCGGUUUAAUCCCCUGAUGUUCGACCUGACGGAGCUCAGCACGGCCUCGUCGAUGUCUAUGGCGACCGCCUCUCCCUGAUCCUGUGCCAUCGCCGGCGGCUAUCCUGUGCAGUCGAAGAUCGUCCUCGGUAUGUAAUCUCCCUCCCUAUAUUAGUACCUGUUCCAGAUCCAGUCGGCACAAAGGGGCAAUAGUAAAGAUUUUCUCUAAGAAGAAAAUUUUCUUUUUUCCCCUAAAAGCUUGUUAGGGGAAAACGCACUGAAUUUAUUUGAACUAUACGUUUUUAAAAUUUUAAUAUAUUAUCUAAUUUUUAAUUUAUUAAGUUAUAAUCGGUUGAUUUUUUUUUAAUAAAUAAUAUAUUAUUUAGUGAAAAGAUAAACUAAACUAUAUGGACGAAACAUCGCAGUGCAAUGGGGUCGAUAAUAUUUGAACUGCAAAAUUUAGUGCUCUAGGAUCGGUUUGUUUUUUUGGGUUGCGGAUGAGCCUUUGAAGAAGCAAAGGAAGAAGCAAAGCUUAUCCGCUUUCCUGUCUGUCCGGACCGGCAGCGCUUGGGCACCCCAUCUCUCCCCCAACUUGCCUCGGUCUUCAGCCCACGCUGUACGACGCUGAAACGCAUACCAGUUAGGGGUGUAAUGUGGGCCGUGCCGGGGCGGCACGGCCCACAUUUUUCGUGCCAAAUCGGGCUAAGGUCAGGCCCGGCCCGGCCUGAAUUUAAUUCGGGCCGGGCCGUGCCGGCCUAAUUUUUCUAUCCUCUGGCCCGCACGGCCCUUUGGCCCGAAGGCACGGCCGUGCCGGCCGGGCCGUGCUUCGGGCCGGCCUAUAAAAUAUUUAUUUUAAAAAAAUAAAUAAAUUUGUAUUAUUUAUUUUAAAAAAAAAAAAGAAAAAGUUUAUAGACUUUUGGUCCAAUGGACCAAAAGUCUUUUGUCCAUUGGACCAAAUGUCCUCCUCCCCAGGUCUGCUGAGGCAGACCUUGGAGGAGAGCUCCUCGGGAGAGGGCCGAGCCCUCCUCCACAGGAGCUCAGAACUCAUGGCCCAAGGCAAUUGCCUUGGGCCAUGGGAUGCGGGCCGGGCGGCCCGGUGGCGACGGCCCAAGCGGGCCGUGCCGUGCGGGCGCGCCCGCCACCCUGCGGCCCGGCACGGCGGGCCCGAUUCGGCCGUGCCGUGCCGGGCCGUCGGCGCUCUCAAAAUGGUGGCCCAGCACGGCCCAGGCUUCGGGCCGGCGCGGCCCGGCACGGUGCUACAGUACCCGUGCGUGCUGUGGCCCGGCCGAGGCCGUGCCGGGCCGGCGGCCCACGUGCCGCCGGCCCGUUUUAAUCCCUACAUACCACGCACGGCUCGGAUGCCAAUUACAGAUUAAUUAUUUAUUUUAAUAAUUUAUUAUUAUAAAAAUUAUAUAAAAUAUAUUAAAUAAAUUUAUAAAAAUAUAUAAUAUAUUAUUUUAAAGUAAAAAUAUUCUUUUCUGACUCAAAUAAAUAAAAUUAAAGAUUGCGUAAUAAAAUCAAACUCUUGAAAGAUUUAUUCACUAAAUUAAAAUAGUUUAAAGACUAGAUAAAUUUUUACAUUAAUUUUUUAAGUAAAAUACACAAAAUUUAUCUAAACUAUAGAUUAUUUUGAGUUGGUUUACUCAACCUUUUAAAAUUUUAAUUUUAUUAUUUAAUAUUUCAAUUUGUUCGAUUUUGAGUCAGCUAACAGUAUUUUGAUUUCAAAAUUUAAAUAUAUUAAUUAUUUUUAUAGGUUUAAUUAGUAUACUUUAUAUAAUUCUCACAAUUAUAUAAUUUAUUAAAUUAAAUAGUUAGCUUACAUUUUGAAGUCAAAAAAUCGUUGAUUGACUCAAAUUAAAGAAAUUAAAGGAUUAAAUAAUAAAUUUUAAAAAUUAAAAAUUUAGAUAGUCCAUUUAAAAUUAUUUAUAAUUUAGAUAAAUUUUGUAUGCUUUUAUCUUUUUUUUAUAAAUAUUUUUCAACGGAAAUUAAUAAAAGCAAGUAAAUGCCUAGAGUGCCAUUGUCCGUUGAUUGUGAGAAGUGGGCCUUAGAUGGCUCAGUGUAGUUUCUAGAAAGACCUUAGAGAUGUGGGUUGGGUGAAUAGGAGCUCUCAACAGGUCCUUUUGAAUGUGGUCGAUAUUUAGAAUACUUUUUUUCGAAAGAUAGAUAGCAUCCUACUCGCUUUAUUUAUUUUAUUUAGAAAUAAACUUAAUUAGAAAUGUGAAUUAAUUAGAAUUUGAAUUUGGGACCUCGGGUUUUAACCACAAAGUUCUUUACCACUUGCUCUAGAAACGGUCGGUCAGAAUACUUAAACGAGUUGGAUUCUUUUUGGGGAUUUCAAAUUCUCCACCUGUUCGAGUCUUAAAAGGUUCAGUUCUAAUGGUAGACUAGACAUCUUUUUCUUUACUAUUGGUGGUUUCAUCACCACUGAUUCCAGAAACUUUGCGUUAACAGAUUUGAGUUGAAUUUUUCCAUUUGGAAUGAAUGGGAUUAUAUCGGAUUCACUUAUUUUCUUUUUUCCAGAGGAAAAGGAUUUAGCCCCUAUUGGAUUCAUUUCACCGAUAGAGAAGUUAAACAUAAACCACUAGAAUUCCGAUCUCAAGUUAUCAGAUUCAUAAAAAAAAUCCACCCAAAUCUGGUGAAAUCAAUUCUAAUCAUGAAGAUUCCAUAGAAAGAAAUCAAUGAUAAUUGAAUCGGAAUUCAUAAAUUGAAGGUACUCUAUGCAGAAAGUGUAAAUUAACACAGAGCAACAUAUAUUCCAGCUACUGAAAUAUCAAAUUUAAAAACGAAAAAUGAAGGACCAAAAAAGGGGCAACUACGUACGUAUCAAACACUAUAGUUUAUCUAGUUUGUGCACUCAAGGUGAAGUAUGGACCCAUCUAUAGAAAAUUGUGUGAAAAAGAAUAGCUUUUUACUUAAUUAACAGAAGGCAAAUUCAAAAAAGAACCUGAUGCUCAGAUAAUCAAAUUCAAUGUAGAAUAUCUAAUGGCUUAAUUAUGAAAUUAUUACAGGAGCAUUAAUUAUGAGCUUACAUCACAAGCUAGCUAAUAGCGUAUGUUAACACAAUACAUAUUUAAACUAAUGAGAAAUGACAUGUGAAAAAUACACAAUAGUAAUAUUCGCCUCCAUCAAGGAACGAGAUUAUUGCGAAAUGUUAGAUCUCAUGUGUAGAGAAUAGAUAGACUACAACAUUGCUCUUUUCCAAACAAUCAUUCAUUGGAAACUAUGAAUUUUUAUACUUUUGUAUUGGCAAACAGGAUUCCCAAUAAAUCAACAUAUGGGAUUGCUCUCCUUCGGUAGGGCCUUGCGUCAGGAUUUUGCUGUGUAAAAAAAGAAAGGUUUGAAUAAAUUAGAUCUUAGUAUUAAAUAUUUGAAAAGGUGAUGUGAUAGUGUACCUUGAUAUAUUCAUUCCAUUCAGCAUCUUUAGCAAUUACUAUUUGACGCUGAUGAUCCCAGCUAAACUUUGGAUGAUGCCUAAUAUUGUUCACUAUUCGAUAUUCACGUCUAUAAAAAUUGAAGCGCUCAAACAAAUGUUUAUAUUCAUACUGCAAGUCAGUUGAUUCAUUGAACUUGGCUACUAUGUUGCACCAAGAAUCCUCUCCACCGUGUAGUAUUUUUUCCCGCCCUGCAUUUGAAAUUUGCUCCACAAACAAACUAAGCAAUACUUUAUCAUGCUCUUUUUCCCAUAUUGCUAAAGGUUUAUCUGUUAUUGUAAUUUUUUUCCUUGCUGAAAUUACAUUUGGCCUCUCUUUCCUAUAAGUAAACAAAAGAGAAACCGAAACUUACAAUUUAAGAAUUUUAUUUCCCAAGAAAUAAAGAACAUUCUGAUCUUAAAAAAAAAUAAAUUACAACCAUUAGGAAAUAUUCAGAAAGUUAGUUCUACAGUUGCAUGAGAAAUAACAAUAACCAUAUGAUGGCAUUCAUCAUAAAUGAAUUCUUCUUGCUACUGAAGUAAAGGAAAAGUAUGACGCUAAUAUGUCAUGAUUCUACUAGGAAACUUGCAAACGUAACUUGUUCACUCUGUGCGGAACAUGAAAUAGCCUCAUUUGAUCAGUUGAUUAACAUAGAACAUGCGAUUACGAAUAUGAAGUCAAUCUUACAAAUAAUUGAGCUUUGAAAUGAAGACUAUAUAAAUCUAUUUUCAAUUGAGCUUGAGAUGGGGCCUUUUACGCGUAUAUAGAAACUAAAUGUUAAAAAGCUAAAGGUCGUGGAGACUAACGAACAAUUGAACUCUCAUAUGGCGGCACUCCAGAUCAAAACGGAUGAAAGUUCAUCAACUAACUUCGGCUAAAACAUUGUUGAUUUUUCUUCUUUCGCACAGGGAAAGGAAAAAAAAGGUCUCUAACAUCAAAAUUCAUUCAGGGGUCACUUGUAAACAAUAACUUGUUAAAGCAAGCAGCAAACUCAGAAGAUAACUACAUGACAUGUUUUCAAAUUCAAAACCCAAGAAAUUACUAGUUCAACGAAAGUAAUUAGUCCCUUGCUGCAAUCCAUUAAGGUUUUUGGACUUAGAGCCAUUCUCAUGCAGGUGCUACUCAUGGUCUCAAUCACUAAUAACAUCCAUGCUGUACACUAAGGCAUGGGAGCACAUAAAUAAUUUGAAUUUUUUUAUUUGUAGGGUCUUGGUAAUUAGUUAAUCUUUUUGGGCAACGACUUCGGAAGUCAAGUUUUCUCCUAUCAAGGAGUUAUCUGAUGAAGCCUCAUUGAUGAAAAAAAAAAAAAAUCAUGGCCUAGCUAGUUAAGAUUCCAAACAGAAAAAUCAGUGAUAAAUGAUUUGAAAUUCAAGAACUGUAGAUACUCAAUGCAGAGAGUGGAAAUUCACACAAAACAACCUAUAUUCCAGCUAUUAAAACAUCAAAUUAGAAAUAAAAAAUUAGACUGAGGAGAGGGAAGCUACGUACAUAUUUACUCUACCUCUUGGAACGAAAUUGAGGGCUGCGCGCUUAAGGUGGAGGAUGGACCCAUCCUCGAUACUGUAGUCCGCCAGAGAUUUGCCCCUCUCCAGUAGUUGGCCGUUGAAAUAAAGCGCAGUUGCUGCCUGCCAAGUUGGAAGAACGGAGACUAGAACGGUGACUAGAACAUCUUGGAUGGUGUUAGAGCUGUCCACCUCAAGCGCAUAAUUUCCAUAAUGUUCUGACUGCACAAAGAUUUUCAUUUCACCAUCUCCGUCGGGUCUCAUAGAAGAGCUAGACUCUGCACAGUUCAUCUUGGCUAUUUCUGUAGGACUAGUGAAGUUGCAUAUGUAAUACAUGUUAGUUUCUUUGUAAUAGAAUUUCACAAAGAUCCUAAGAUAUUUCUUGUACCAGUGCAUGCAUAUAUAACAAACAUUAAUAUUACUUCGGCAAAAAAGAAAAAUUAAGUUACAAAUUUGAUGGCUUUUGUCACAUGUAAAAGAGAUACAGGAUAAUUUGUUUAAAUUUUCUUCUUUCUUUUUUUUUUUCCUCUAGCCAUCUUAUCGAGCUGAUAUUCAGUUUCUGAUGGAAAUAAUCAAAAAAAUUCCUUCCCUUUUUUUUCUCUUUUCAAAAAUAAACUAAGUUUUUCUUCGUAUACUAAGUUAAAGCUUUUACUAAAAUACAUAUAUAGAUAUAGGGCCCGUUUGCCCUAAAUUCUGAAAAAGUAAUUUCUGCAGAAUUAAAUUUGAUUUUGAAAAUUAAUUUUGCUUAAAAAUUGUAAAGGGUCUGGCUAAGUUUAGAUAGAAAUCAUUUUUUCUAAAAAAAUUUUAUAAAUCUAUUUGGUAAAUUUUUCUUUUUUUCUGUUUGCGAAUAAUCGGAUAGAAGAGUUUAUGCAUCUAACACAAUAGGGCGGACGAGGACUACAUCUAGGAUAGAAGAGUAGCUCUCAGUUUUAUGUCUUAAUUAAUUUGUUGGCUUCAUGACCAUUCAAUUCAUCACGAUGUUAAAGAAAGUUACAAUUCAAGAAACUCAUGCGAAGUAGACAUGUAGUUGAAUCUCUUUGCUUGCAACGAGAAUGUAAUUUCCAUCUUUAGGUAAGAUCUUUAAAUCUGGGCCUAAAAUUAAUCAUAACCAAACCAAUUUAAAACCAUUUGGAAUCAAAAUCUAAGUUACUUAAUUUCAAAACAGAAAGGGAAGCAUACUCAUAACUAUGUGCCAACACCCGCGGAGUGCACUUCAGCUGAAGCACGGAGCCGAGAUUGAUUCCGUACUCGGCCAGGGUUUUCUGCUUCUCCAAUUCCAAGUCAUUGAAACAAAGCCUCGGCUCUGGCGCUUGCGCUGCCCUGUUGAGGCCGAGAAUCUCGACCAGCACAUCCUCGACGGUGUUAUCGCCGUCCGCUAGAAGAACAUAGUUAUGGACGGCGCCCAACUGCACAACGAUCUCCAUCUCGCUUGCGAAUUCAGGUUCCCCGACGGAGUCCCAUGGUUGCAUGUUGGAAUUCGACAGUUCCGCGACGGAGGCCGGCAACUCUACAGAAUCCGCCAUCUCCAGCGUUCCUAUAUAUAUAUAUAUACGACUAAACCAAUUAAGCAACAACAAUUGCAAUAUCAUGUUCGCAUGCAAACAUUGUAAAUCACUGUGAUAAUAAUAGUAGUUAGUACCUUCUACGAGGAAGAAGAAGAAUAGUCGUGUGAUGUUCCAAUAGUUUAACACACAAAAGAAAUUGCAUACGGAACUCACAUUAUGUGUAAUUGGGGUCCGACACGUUUACUUGGCUCGCUGUUACAAUUCUCUCGCUGAAGCUUCCUUCUCUCUGGCAUGCGACUAUUCUAUUUUCUGCACGUGGAAGGUUAGGAUAAAUUUAGAUCGAGUCCACGGAGUAGCGUAGGUUUGGACAAAAUUAGAUAAGAGUCUGACUUAGAAUUUGGUGAAAUGCAAAUAUGAAUGUCAAAAUUUAGCAUUUUUCAAUAUAUAUUUGUACUCGAAUUCAUAUUCAAAAAAAUAUAUAAAUAUGGAUACACCCUAUGAAAUAAUUAUUUAUUUUAGUAAAAUUAUAGCUGCGAGAAUUAUAUAAUAUAUAUUAAGUAAAUCUGUAAAGAGAGAUAAUAUAUUUAAAUCUUGAAGUUAAAGUAUCGUUGAUUGACUCAAAUCAAACAAAGUUAAAAAUACGUUGGAUAAUAAAAUCAAAUUUUUGAAAGAUUGAUUAACCAAAUGAAAAUGGUUCAUAGUUCAGACAAAUUUUUAUAUUAAUUUUGUAAGUAAAAAUAUACGAAACUUAUCUAAAUUGUAGAUUAUUUUGAGUUGGUUUACCCAAUCUUUCAAAAUUUUAAUUUUACUAUCUAAUAUUUCAAUUUGUUAGAUUUGAGUCACUAAUAGUAUUUUAAUUUCAAAAUUUGAAUGUAUUAUUUAUCUUUAUAAGUUUAGUUGGUAUAUCUCAUACAAUUUUUACAAUUAUAAAUUUAUUAAAGUAAAUAAUUAGCUUAAAUUUUGAAGUCAAAAGGCCGUUGAUUGGCUCACAUUAAGCAAAUUAAGAGAUUUGAUAGUAAAAUUUAAACUUUAAAAAGGUUAGAUAGUCGAUUUAAAAUAAUAUAUAAUUUAGACAAAUUUCGUUUGUUUUUAUCUUUUUUUUGUCUAUACUUCAUCCAAGGAUAACAAUGGAACGGUGCAGUGUUGUCAACGGAAAUAAAAAUGGAGUGCUAUUGAUUGUGAGAAGUGGGCCUUAGAUGGCUCAGUGAAGUUUCUCGUUAAGACCUUGGAGAUGUGGGUUGAGUGUAGACCUGGCAACGGGCGGAUUGGGUAACCCGUGGACGAGUUAUUAUAUCCGCUGGUUACUUGUAAAAUUUACUCGCAAAUUUUUGAAUAGCCAACAUCUUUAUCCAUACUCACCCACGGGUGGGCGGGUGGGUAUACGGGUUAUCCACAAUUUUUUUUUUUUGCUUUUAUUUUUUUAAAAUGCAAAAUAUAUAUAUUAGUUUAAAAAGCGUAAUAUAAUCUCAUUAUUUGAAAUAUCAUAACAUACAAUAAAAAUAUUUAAAGUCUUAAAGCAAAAAUAUUUUAUAAUAUAAAAGAUACGCAAUAAGAAUUUGGAUUAGAAUUUUUAGGAUAGGUAAAUAAAAAAUAUAUAUUAAUUAAGAAAAUAUAUUUUGUAAUUAAAAAAUAUAUGUGCGGGUACCCAUGGGUACCCGCGGGUUACGCAAAAUGCCCACUGCUUAAUGGAUACCCACCUGUUUUACCCGUAAUUUUUUGGGUUGGAAAAGUUGGUAUCCAUACCCAUAAAUUUAUGGGUAACCUGCAGGUACCUGUGGGUUUUGGUCAAAAUUGCCAGGUCUAGUUGAGUGAAUAGGAGCUCUCAACAAGUCCUUUUGAAGGUGUCCAAUUUACGAAGAACUUAAAAGAGUCGGAUUCUCUUUGAUAGUGUUUGGUUCGGGAACAAGGGGGGGAAUAAGCCCUUGUUCCCCCCUUUGUUCCCAAACGCAAUGUUUGGUUCCCGGAAGCUUAAAUUUUCUUCUUUUUUUUUUUUUUUUUUCCUCUAGCCAUCUUAUUGAGCUGAUAUUCGGUUUCUGAUAGAAAUAAUCAAAAAAAUUCCUCCCCCGCACCCCCUCCUUUUUCUUUUUUUCCACUUUUCAAGAAAUAAGACAAAGUUUCUCUUCAUACUAAGUUAAAAGCCUUUUACUAAGAUACAUAUAUCGAUAUAGGGCCGUUUGUCCUAAAUUCUGAAAAAUUAAUUUUACAAAAUUAAUUUUGAUUUUGAGAAUUAAUUUUGCUUAAAGUUGUAGAGGGUCUGGCUAAGUUUAGAUAAAAAGUAAUUUUUUUAAAAUGAUUUUGUAAAUCUAUUUGAUAAUUUUUUUUUUCUAUUUGCAAAUAAUAGGAUAGAAAAGUUUAUGCAUCUAACACAAUAGGACGGACGAGGACUACAUCUAGGAUAGAAGAACGCAACUAAAGUUUACCCAAAUUUAACCAAACCAAUACUAAUUAAAAUCCGGGUCUAAAUUUCUAGAAUGGAUUUCUCCCUUUAAUGUAAGAGCAACGUUCGUUUCUCUAAGUUGAUGUACAGAUGAAGCGUACUCAAAGAACUUAACAUUGAAAGAAAUUGUAUAACUUACCAGUACUUCGGUUGUUUAAUUAACUCUGUAUUUAUUUUGACUCUCGAUGAGAAGAUAGGAUCUACAUCAGGAGCAGGCAGGAUAACACAAUCUACGUAUUUGAAAAGAUAGGAUAAUNUGUUCCUUGGCGACAAUAACGAAGGCGGGGCCGUCUCCUCUUCCUCCGCCUCUGUCACAUCCCGGGCCCAAGUGGAAGCUUAUCCGGCACGUGUACAGACCCGUUGUGCGCACAAGGCACCCCUGGUGCACACAAUGCGUCUAUCACAAAACAUAUAACAGAGAAGGAAUGAGAGAGAUAAUAAGGAAAUAAACCUAUCAUGGUAAUCAGAGCAUAAGUACUAACAAAACACUAAAGCAACAAUCCAAUAGAGGAAAUAACGAGUUACUACAACAAAAGGGUACAACUAUUAUAAGAUAUACAUAAGUUGAUAAAAGAAGAAAUACAUCUCAGAACAUAUGGUAGUUUCUAUACAAAAUGGUCGGGUACACCCUUCGGGACAAAACAAAGAAAGGUGACCACCUAAGCAAAAAACUUCCAAAAAGGCUCUAGCUAGUCGCAACUCCCUUACCGCGGUCCUUACACAUGUGCUACAGGAAGCUGAAAACAAGAUUCACCUUACACGAGAGCGACUGAUCUCGGCUCAGAGUAGACAAAAAAGCUAUGCUGAUAAGUGUCGGCGAGAAUUGGAAUUCCUAAUAAGAGAUCAUGCCUUUUUGAAGGUCUCACCGACGAAAGGGAUUAAGAGAUUUGGUAUUCGAGGAAAGUUAAGUUCUCGAUUUGUUGGACCUUUUCAGAUCUUGGAGCAUGUAGACCCAGUAGCAUAUCGGCUUGCUUUGCUGCCGAACCUAUCGGGAAUACAUAAUGUGUUUCAUGUUUCCACGCUUUAGAAGUACUUUUUGACCUAGCUCACAUUUUGAACUCCACUCUAUUAGAGUUGACGAGGACUUGAGCUUUGAGGAGCAUCCUGUGAUGAUUUUGGCUCAUGAGGUGAAGAAACUUCAUAAUCAUGAAAUUCCCUAUGUGAAGGUAAUUUGGAGCAACCAUAACAAGCGCGAGGCUACUUAGGAGUUGGAGAGUGUGCUGUAGGAGCGUUAUCCCCAUCUUUUCCAGAUAGAUUCUUAGGUACUCAACUUUUAGUUUCGCGGAGGAAGCUCCUUUUUAGGAGAGUAGAGUGUAGCACACCGAACUUUAGUAAAUUGCAAUGUUCCAGUGUAGGAAUAGUGCUUUGAGCUAUUCUGAAAGUUUUGAAGGUUGUUUGGAAUGUUUUGGGCUGUUUUCGGAGCUAGUUAGGCACGAGAACAGGUUCCCGACAUCAAAACUUGCAUAUUGCAGAUUUUGGUGUUGAGUACCGGUACUGGAUUGAGGUACCGGAACUCAGUAGAGUGCCGAAAUGGACAGCUCUCGGAUUUUGCAGAAUCUAGCUGUGUGUACCGGUACUCAAUGCUGCAAAACCUAAUUUCGUGCAGUAUACUAUUUUUGGGUUUUUGAGGGGCCUGAUGAAAAUUGUUACAUUAUGUAGUAUAACCCCUCAUCCCCCUCACUUGUUCACUUUUGGGCUGAGGUUAGAGAAAGGAGAAGGUGAGUGCUCUCUCUCUUGGAUUUCUUCCUCCUAAUCCCUAAAAUCCUUGGAUUUGAUCUCUUCUUCUCAAUCUUCUAUAUUGAAGUUUGCUGCUUGGACCUUGAAGGGAGCUUGGGAGUGAAGAAAGGAGCCUGUUUGAGCAUUCAACUCCAACCUAGCAUUUUUAGCUUGGUUGGAGUUUUUGUUGAGAUUAGUAGUCUUUUUAAAUCCUCUAAUUGUGAGUUUUGUAAGAAUUUUGGAAUAAAACCUAGUUUUAAGGAAACUAUGAUUUAUUUUGGGAUUUCUUGAUUUGAAUUUUUUAGGUUAAAUUGCUGGGUGUUGAACCCUUUCUUAAGUUGGAUUUGAAGCCUUCUGACUUUGGUUUGGAUCUUGGACAAGUUCUACUUGAUCAAAGGUAUUUUUCACCUAUUUUUCUAUUGAAUUUUUGGUGAAUUUCGUUGUAAACUUUUUAGAACCUUGUAAUCCUUUGAAAAUUUUUCUUAGGAUGUUAGGAGUCUAAGAGAUAACUUCGUUUGGUGAAACGAAUAAGUAUCGAAUAAUAUCCGGUGAGUUUGACCUUACCGAAAUGGAUAAACUCUUCCUAUAUCUCCUAUAUUGCUAUAGGAUUUAAAUUGAUGCAUAUUCAUGCUAUUCAUGACUAGGGGUGUAAACGAGCCGAACACAAGCGAGCUGGGGUCGGCUCGUGUUCGGCUCGUUUAUUAAAUGAGCCGAACACGAGCUGACUCGUUAAAGUAUCGAGCCGAAAAAUCCAGCUCGUGUUAACUGGCCCACGAGCUGGCCAACAAACUUUGAUAAAUUAAAAAGAAUGAAAUCGAAAAGAUAUAAAAAAUAAAUUUAUAAAAACUUCAAGUCAUAUAGAUCAUGAUCUAACAGUGAAAAUCGUACAUAUGAAAGCUCAAUUUUUCGAAAACAAAUGGCUCGCAUACAGAUGCCUAGUUUGCUAAAAAUAAAAUAAUAAAAAAACACAUUAUAUAUAAUUAUUUAUUUAUAUAUAAAAAUAUAAAUUAAAUAAAUUAUAUAAAUAUAAAAUAUAUGUAUUCGAGUUAUUAUCGAGCCGAAUAGGAGCGAGCUGACCCCGGCUCGUGUUCGGCUCGUUUACUAAACGAGCGAUUCGAUCUCGAGCUCAUUUCGAGCCGAACACGAGCUGGCUUGCGAACACGCGAGCUGGAUUGCCACCCCUACUUAAUUCCAAACAAAAAGGGAACAAAAAGGGAAUAAAUCAUACUCAUAGGUGUGUGCCAACACCCGCGGCGUGCACUUCAGAUGAAGCAUGCAGCCGAGUUCGAUUCCGUAUUCGGCCAGGGUUUUCUGCUUCUGCAACUCCAGGUCAUUGAAAAAAAGCCGCGGCUCCGGCGCUCGGCCCGCCCUGUCGCUGCCGAGAAUCUUGACCAGCACGUCCUCAACAGUGUUACGGCAGCACACUAGGAGAUGGUAGUUGUGGGUAGCGUCGGACUGCACAGUGAUCUUCAUCUCACUGGCGAACUGAUCAGGUUCCCCGGCGGAGUCCCACUUGGAGUUCCACAGUUCCGCGACGGAGGCCGGCAGCUCUGCAGUAUAUAAAUGACUAAACCAAUUAAGCAACAACAAUUGCAAUAUCAUGAUGUUCACAUGCAAACAUUGUAAAUCGCUGUAAUAAUAAUAAUAGUAGUUAGUACCUUCUUAUAUAUGGAUCAAUUAAUUAAUUACAGCGAGUCAAAGUAUCACAGGCCACAGCAACUCCGAGAGAGAAAGAGAGAUACACAAAAAUAAUAGAAAGAAGAGGGAGGAUUUAUAGAAAUAAGAGGACUUAGUGAGAAAGAAGAAGAAUAGUUGUGACGUUCCAAGAAAUUGUUCGUACGGAUCUCACAAUGUGUGUAAUUGGGCCCGACGAAAACGCGUUUACUUGAUUCACUGUUAUUUCUCUCUCUGGAAGCUUCCCACCUCUUUCUGGAGUACUACUUUUUUCUUUUCUUUUCUUUUCUUUUCUUUUCUUUUCUUUUCUUUUCUUUUCUUUUCUUUUCUUUUCUUUUCUUUUUUUUUUUAAAAAAAAAAUAGCAAACCAACAAAAACAACAAAAACGUACAGAGAAAAAAAGACAGCAACUCCGAGAGAGCUGACAUUCACUGUUAUUUCUCUCUCUAAAAGCAGCAUGAGCUUGAGAACAGAGCCAGAAAAACACGAAACAAAACAAAACAACAAAAACAGAGAGAAAAAGAAGAGUAGAGGAACAGAGAGAAAGGAGAGAAGGAGCAGGAGGAUAAAUUUUCUUUUUUUCUUUUUUUUUUUCAGCAAGUGGUAGUCGUAGGUUGGAAUAAAUUUAGAUCGAGUCCACACGGAGGCGUAGGUUAGGAUAAAAUUAGAUGAGUCUGAAGUAGAAUUUGAUGGAAUGCAAAUAUGGAUGCCAAUAUGGGGACUCAUCUGUAAAAAAUUAGGAAGCUCCUAUUUAAUUUACCUUUUUCUAUAAUCUCUUGUUAAAUAUAAAAAUAUUUAAACACCGUUCUCUAACAGUUUAAGCUUUUAGAGUACAACGAUUGUUUCACAUGGUAUCAGAGCAGGAGAUCCUGAGUUCGAGUCACGCCAGGCUCCUAGCAUAUUAAUUUCCUCCCAUUUAAUUCAAGCCCACGUCAUGGGACCCAGACGUGAGGGGGAGUGUUAAAUAUAAAAAUAUUUAAACACUAUUCUCUAACAGCUUAACCUUUUAGAGUACAACGGUUGUUUCACAUCUCUCUCCAAGAUACCCGAUCGCAUAAGAUGUUUACGCACCAUAUAAAUUCUAUAAAUCUACUAUUCUAUACAUAACCUUAUCGUGCGGACGCAUUCGUAUACGGAUGAAUUAUGAUUAGAUGAAUUAUGGUUAGAAAAUUAUUUAUGUACUUAUAUCAAGAUCAGUACUGUUGAUCUUAAUUUGAAGUAUUCUAUUUUCUUUUUUUAUAAGGUUUUUAAAUUUGAACCAUUCAUUUUGUGGCAGCAUGACGCACUUGACAAUGAUAUUAUAAAAAAAAAUUAUGAACUUUCAAUUCCUAACAACUUAGAAAAUCUUAGAUUACGCUUAAUGGUGUGAAUUACUGAUUCAAAAGUUCUAUUAUCGAAAAUAAGACUAUAACACAAAAUACUUUGUGCCGUUAAUAUAACGCUAGCUUAGCUUUAUGCUUUAAUUUUCAAAACUUUUGAGAGAAUUCACAUCUUCAAAGUCCACUAAUAAAAGAAGAAUUUUAAAAAUUCAUCAAGUAAAUUCAAGAUAUUAAUCAUUUUCCAGGACCAAAGGGCCAAUCAUCUCUUCGAAUAAAAAACAACUAAAGAAGAAACAAAUCCUUCACAUAACUAUGCUCCAUCAAAAUAAUUAACAAACACUAAUUUAACUUGAAAACUUAAUAUAAAUUUUUUGCUUAUAUUAUUCUUUGAAGAGUGCCUCUUUAAUCAUGGUUACAAUAUGUGAACUAUGGUAUGUACAAUAUAUUUGUGAUAUGAUUUGAUAUAGCAACCUACUAAGUUUUUUUUUUGAGAAAGAGGUAGCGAGCUAUCUGCUUCAUUCAUCAAGCAAAAUGAACUAAGCGUACAUGAUGAAAGCAGCUAAGGCCUCCUAUGAAGCGGAAAAAAAUAGAAAAUGAACAAGGAAGGAAAAAUAGAGCUAUAGGAGAAAGCUAUAGAGCUAGGACAGGUGAUGCGGAAACACAAAAGAGAGAUAUCCGGAAGAAAAAGAAAGGGAUCACAGGUCGUUCCCGGCAUUCAUCAAGGCAAGAACGUCCAGUCGUUCGUCAUCAAGCAACCUACUAAGUUACAAUCCAUUUGGAUGUAUAUGGUGGCUAAUAACAUAAUCAUAAUAGGACCAUCAGAUAACAUCAUAUAGUAGGUACUAAGAUGAUGCACAAUUAAAUUAAUGAGAAAUGACAUUCAAUAAAGUUGAAAUCAUUCUCAUGUUUACUUUGUGUGCAUAAUAGUCAAGUAACACAUUUUCAAAUAAUUGUUUGCUUUAUUACAGUUACAAUGCACAUUCAGAGUUUGUAGAUGACAAUGAACAAAAUGUAUGAAAAUAUAGUGUUGUUGUUCUUCUCCAAAAAGCUCUGCUUCGGGUUUUGCCUGCGCGAAUGCCCAAAUAGUUUGAAUCAAUUCAAGUAUAAAAAAGGAUCGAUAGUGUUGGAUAAAGAAUAAUAAUAAUAAUAAAUACGGUUAGUAUACCUUAAUAUAUCAAUUCCAUUCAUUAUCUGUAGCAAUUACUACGUGACGUUGGUAAUCCCACCUACGUGUUGGUUGUUGCUCGAUGUUGUUCACCGUUUCAUAUUCGGUUGUGUAAAAGCUCAACCGGUCUUUCAAAUCUUCAACUUCAUAAUUCGACGCUGUUGCCUUGCUGAAUCUAGCCACUAUGUUAUGCAAAGCAUCCAUUUUAAAGCCUUACCCGUCUCUCCCGCCAUUAUGCACAUGUUUUACCAUCAAAUCAAGCAGUGCUUUGGGGUAGCGUUCUUCAGCCAAAUUGCUAAAAGGUUGGUUUCCUCUUUUGAUGGUUAAUUCAUUGUAGUAUUAUUUUUGUCAGCUCUCUAUUCUGCAAGUGAAAUAAAACAAGAAUAUCCUAGAAAUACUUUUAGGGUGCGUUUGGUUCGCAUUAUGAAAGAUUACUAGGAAGGAAAAGAUGUCCGAGAAUCUUAUUCCUAUUCAUCAUAUUACUAAGAAUGUGGAAUUCCUGUGUUUGGUUCGCAUGGUCAUAUUAUUUAGCCAUGUUAUUUAAGAUUACAAAAAAUAUACAAUUAAUUAAUUUAUUUUUUAAAUUAAUUUUAGAUAAUCUACCAAAAAUUUCAACAUUUUUUUAGAAAAAAGGAAGAGAGAGCAUAGGUUAGAAAGAGAGAGCAUAAUUAAAAAAAUAGUAAGAGAAAUAGAGUCGAAAUUAGAGGGAGUGAGAGAGUUGAGAUUUUAGAAAAAGAGGGAGAGAGAAAGCUUAGUAAGAGAGAAAAAGAGUUAAAUUUUAGAGAGAAAGAUAAGUUUAGAGAGAGAUGUGAGAUUAUAGUAUGAAGAAAAAUAAUACCAAUUAGCCGACGGAUAGGGAGAAAGAAAGAGAUUAGACAUAUUAUGAUUACCCCAAUCCAUAUUAUAGGAUACCCACCCUUUCUCAAGAGAAUGAGAUUAGUACUUUGGGAUGAAUCUUAUUCCCAAGUAAAUCCAAUAUUACUAACUAGAUUACUUAGUGCGUUUAACCAAACACCGUCAUAUUUUUUUAUUCCUAUUGGAUUACUAGGAAUCUUUAAAAGAUAGCGCGAAUCAAACGCACCCUUAAACUAAAAUAACAGAGAAUAAUGAUGAUUGAAAAUAGUAGAAAAUCGUAAUCAUAGAACAUCAUUGUGGACGGCGUUUCGACUGCAUGCACAGUGAUCUCCAUCUCACUGGCAAAGUCAAGUUCCACAACGGAGUCCGGCGGCUCUACACAAUCCAUCUCCACCAACUCUAUAUGGACACAUUGUGUUGUUCAAAUAAUCACAUUCAAUAUAGAAAAUCUAGUGACUUACGAAAUCAUUGAGGGAGCAUUAAUAUAAGCUUACACUAAUGAUAGAUGCUAACAUAAAUACAUAUUUAAAUAGAUCAGAAGUGGCAUGCGCAAAAUAUAGUGUAACAAUGUUUGCCUCGGUCAAGAGGCGAGAUUAUUGUGAGAAUGUUGAGAUCUCAUAGCUAGAGAACGAAGAGAUUACAACACUAUUUUUAUUUCAAGAGAGUCACUCAUAGGAAAUCACGAUAUUUUAUUUUUUUUUCUCGACAAACACACUUUCAUAUAAAUUAAUAUACGGUACUUUUCUGCUUCGAUAGUCCUUCGCACUAGGAUUUUCCUGUGAAAAAGGAGAAAGGUUUGAAUAAAUUGGAAUUAAGUACUAAACACUUCGAAAAGCAAUGUGGUAGUAUACCUGAAUAUACUUAUUCCAUGCAGCAUCUGUGGCAAUUACUACUUGAUGUUGAUGAUCCCACCUAAACUCCGGACGAUUCUUGAUUUUUCCCACUAUUCCAUAUUCACGUUUAUAAAUCUCGAAGCGAGCAUGCAAAUGUUUUUCUUCAUAUUUCAUGCCUGUUGCUUUAUUGAACUCGGUUACUAUAUCACGCCAGGAAUUAUUUUUAUAGUCUAGUAUUUUUCUCCCUCUUGAUUGAAUUUGCUUUACCAAUAAAUCAAGCAGUAUUAGAUCAUGCUUUUCUUCCCAUAUUACUGAAGGGCGAUACGUUAUUUUAAAGUAUCUCCAAAUUGGCUAUCGUACAAUUGUCACUUCCCCCCCACUCGCCGCGACCUCUUCGCCAGCCAAGGCGGCCGCCUUGUCCGUUGAAUAUUCUGCGGCCCCUCCCCUCGCCGCAUCCGCCUCUUUGGCCGGCGAACGGGUGUCCGUUGACGUCUCGGGUGGCGGGUCGUUUAAAUUUUCAAACCUCUCCGCUGUCCCCGCAUCCCUAGACAACGGUGACAUCAGGGCUGCAGACUGCCGCCUUCAGCUUUCACGCCCCCCUUUCGCCAGCUGUUUUGCUAACGCCUUUUUGGCCCCUGUACCCGCGAAGGGAAGCUUCGUAUCUCUAUCCCAGGGAUCCCUUCUGGCAGAAUUAGACAAAAGGAGCUCUGGGGGGAUUUUCUUCUCCCUCGGGAACCGGCGGAGUUUCUUCCUACGAUUCUCUACAUCCUUCUCGUUUUCUGUGCGGCCCCCCUCCAAACUAGUUGUCGGAUCUCUCGGAUCCCUCCUUCUGCAUGCUUCCUUCGGGUCGGAUGUGUGGUUCGGAUCCGCAAACCUUCUCUCCUGCCACCUGGGACCCAAUUGGACCCUUAUCCGGCGCCCUGGGCCAGACCUAAGCUCGGGCGGGCUUUCUGCGUCCACUAAUGCCCCAUGCUGGCUCCCACCCUCCUGGUGCUUGGGCUUGGGCCGCGGCUCGGGCCCGGGCUCGGCCACGGGCGGCCUGGACGCAGGCAUCGUAAUGGACUUGGGCGUGGGCUUCGGUGUCGACUUGGGUGCCGGGUCGGGUGCGGCCCUGCGCUCAGGCUCGGACGUGGGCUUGGAGGAGGGCUUCGACGAGGUCUUGUCUGCGGGCCUGGAACCGGACCGGGGCGAGGGCUUGGGUGCAGGCCCAGACGAGGAUUUGGAGACACGACUGGGCGCGAGCUCGGCCGACGACUUGGGCGCGGGAUCACCCACGGGCCUGGGCGCCUUUAAGGCUCCAAGCGACCUUGCGGGAGGUUUUGGACCGGUCGAGCUCGAGCGCCCUGAGGUGGCGCGCGGGGACAGCGGAGGCAGCGGAGGGGCGGCGUCGGAAGGCGGAGGCAGAGGAAGCGGUGGGGGUGAGGGUGUUCUUGGAGGCGGCGAAGAAGACGGAGAGAGGAGAAUGGGGGCUAUGGGUUUUACGGUUCGGGACGGAGGGGUGCGGGGUCUUGUAGUUGGAGACGUCGCGGAAGAUGUGGCCGCAGCCUGGGCCGUCGGGUCGGGCGUAGAGGGAGCAAGCUUCGCCAUGGGCAUGGGCGCAGACUGCGGCGCCGGGUCGGGCUCGGCCUUGGGAGCGGGCUCGGCCUCCAUCGUGGACUCGGGCGCAGAGUUUGGCGCCGGCUUGGGCGUGGCGUCGGGCUUCGAGGCGGGCCGGGGCGCGGCCUUGGCCGUGGGCUUGGGCGCAGACUUGGGCGCCGGCUUGGGCCAAGCCUUCAAGCCCAAGGGACCUUGCGGGCCGGGGCGCUUGGGGGCGGGCUCGGCCGACGGCCUAGGCGCGGGCUCGCCUGCGGGCCUGGGCACAGGCUUUCCAACCUGCAGCACCCACCUGGCCUUGAUUUCCACUUGCAGCCACCCUCCCAACUUGGACCGUCCCACCUCGGAUCCACCCAGAUCUAGCGGAAGAGUCCGCAGCCAGUUUCCUGGCUCUGUUUUACGCAAGGCCAUGCUCAGAAAGGCGCAACUACUCGAAGGCGACCCAGCUAUUCCCAGUCACUCUACGCGCAAAUGGUCCAAGAAAAAAGUUAAGGCGAAAGGUCUUCGCUGCGGGGUGGACCUUCAUGAAGAGGCCGUUAAGGACUUCCUUGAGUUCCUGAGUGGGAAGGCCUAGGAGCGGCUGGAGGAGCCGCGGGUGUUGUGUUUCGUGUGUCUUUCCUUUCUGAUGUUUAACAUUUUGUGUUGGAAUGUUCGGGGUCUCAACGACCCCUCUAAGCGCCGUUGUGUCAAGUCUGUUGUCUCCAGUCGUGUUCGUUCUGUCAUCUGUCUCCAAGAAUCUAAAGUGGAUAGUGUGUCUCGCUCUUUUCUUCGCUCUUGCUGCGGAUCUGCUUUUGAUAGAAGCCACUUUAUUCCUGCAUCUGGGGCUUCUGGUGGGCUCAUCACUUGUUGGAGCUCCAAAUUCUUCUCUUGUAGCGAGGUUAUCGUGAGAAAGCACUCUCUCACUCUCCAUCUAUCUUGUCUCAAGAGUAAAAAGCAUUUCUUCCUCACGAACGUCUACGGGCCAUCUACCUGGGACGGCAAGGAUGAAUUCUGUCUCGAGCUUCUCUCUUUACGCGGGGUUUGCACUUCCAACUGGGUGAUCUGCGGAGAUUUUAACUUUACCAAAAAUCAAUCUUAACGAAAGGGAAACCUCUGGAGCUCUAAGGCGAUGGCUAUGUUCUCUGAUCUGAUUUCCAACUUAGCGGUCAUAGAUCUCCCUCUGUCCAACCAAAGCUUCACUUGGUCGAACAUGCAACGCAGACCCACACUGGCAAAACUAGACAGGUUCCUCGUUUCAACUGAAUGGGACCAAUCUUUUCCUCACAGCAAGGUCAAAGCCCUCCCUAGGAUCACUUCCGAUCACGCACCGAUCAUCUUAUCCACCGAAGCGCAACUCAUACCCAGACGAUUCCGAUUCGAAAGGGUUUGGCUCACUAAAGAAGAUUUCCACUCGAAGGUGCCAAUCUGGUGGAAUGAAAUUGCUGACAAGAAUUCGGGUAUCCUCACAAUUACUGCCAAACUCAGACACUGCCGAACCAGAAUUAAAGAAUGGUGUAAGACGAGUUUCUAUAGCAUAUCGCUCUCGAAGAAGAUUUUAGAGGACGAACUGCAUGACAUUGAUCUCUUAGAAGAACAACACGACCUCCCCCAAGAUCUAAUAGACAAGCGAGCCAAUCUCAAACGUCAUCUACUCUCUAUCUUGGGGGAGGAAGAAAUCCUUUGGAAAACUAGGGCCAAACAACAAUGGCUAAAGGAAGGCGACUCCAACACUAAAUUUUUUCAUGCAGUGGCUAACGGGCGAAAACGCUCCAACUCGAUUGAUGUGAUUGAAGACAACUACGGGAGAGAAAUCACCAACGAAGCUACCAAACGGUCAUUCUUCCUGCAAGCUUUUAAACAACGGUUUGGACAAGCAGACGACAGAGCGAUAUCUUAUGGGGAUUGGAGUAACCUUUACCUCUCUAAUAGACUGCACAAUGCUGACUCCCUUACGUCCCCCUUCACAAUCGAGGAAAUCAAAACCGCCACCUUCCAACUUGGAAGCGACAAGGCCCCGGGACCAGACGGCUUCCCCCUCUCCUUCUUCCAAACUUUCUGGGAGACUGUCAAAACGGAUAUUUUAAAAGUUUUCACUGACUUGCAAGAUAAUAAUCUCUUCACCGGCCCCUCAGACUACUCACUUCUUUGCCUAAUCCCGAAGAAAGAAGGAGCACGCAAGGCCAACGACUUUCGUCCAAUUAGCCUUAUCAAUAGCAUUCAAAAAAUCAUUUCCAAAGUCCUGGCUAACAGACUAGCCCCCACCCUGUCAUCUAUUAUCUCACCAACUCAAUCGGCUUUUCUCAAAGACCGGUUGCUGAUGGACUCGUUCGUAACAGCAAGUGAACUAAUUAACUGGUGUUCGAAGACUGGAAAGGAAUGUGUAUGCAUUAAAGCGGACUUUGAAAAGGCCUUUGACAACGUACGCUGGGACUUCCUGAAAAGCAUUUUGCACUGGCUUGGUUUCAACGACAAAUGGUGGGCAUGGGUUGAGCAGUGCAUCUGCAACGCCAAAGUAGCCAUUUUAGUCAACGACACCCCGACUGAUUGGUUUAAGAUGAGAAAGGGUCUUAGACAGGGCGACCCCCUCUCGCCCUACCUCUUUAUUUUGGUGGCUGACUGCUUAGCUAGAUUGACUGAUACUGCAAGGAAUAACAACCUUCUCCGUGGUAUUGGACCGUCCACUGAUUGUCAAACUACGCUGAUUCAAUACGCGGACGACACAAUUUUCUUCUCCGAGCCUAGAAAACACUUAAUGCGAAACCUACAGUUUAUUUGGUAUAUCUUCGAGUGGGCUUCAGGUCUGAAAAUCAACAUGGACAAAUCAGACCUGUAUUAUCUGGGCCCUAACCCCCAAAGAGCCAACAGACUUGCUAACAUCCUUGGAUGUAAAGUUGGGAAACUCCCGUUCCGCUACCUCGGUCUACCGCUUUAUAAUAAACACCUACGAACGGAAGAUUGGGCUCCGGUCAUUGAUCGCAUAUCAGCAAGAAUCGAGGGGUGGAAAGCCAAACUCCUAUCCUAUGGGGGUAGACUCACGCUCGUCAACUCGGUUCUCACUAACUUGCCGCUAUUUUAUUUCUCCAUCUACAAAGCGCCGCAAUGGGUUUUACACAGGAUCGAAUCACUUAGAAGAUCUUUCUUCUGGAAAGGCUGCGCUAGCAUCUCUGGAGGAGCCUGUCUUGUCAGUUGGAAGUCCAUCUGUAAAAGUAAGAAAGAAGGUGGGUUAGGGAUCAAAGAUUUGGAGGGAAUGAAUCUGGCGCUGCUAUCUAAAUGGUGGUGGCGCUUCUUCAACGAACCACAAUUACUGUGGCCCAAAUUGAUUUCAUGCCUCUAUUAUGUCAGAAGAAGACCUUUACAUGAGGGAAGAAGUUUUGUACCCCACUCGCAGUGGUGGAAAGGUGUUCUGCAAUGCCGCGACGCCUUCAAAUGCGGUUUAUCUUUUGAGCUUGGCGAUGGUCGGAACAUCAGGUUGUGGUCCGAUAUUUGGAUUGGUGAAACAUCUUUGAGCACCUUGUUUCCAGACAUCUACGCUCAAAUCGCGAACAAGAAAGCUCGGAUAUCUCAAUGCUGGAACCAUAAUGGAUGGAGAUGGCGUUUUAUCACUAGAGGCUUCGCGGCGCCCCGAUUGGCCCACAGUGGUAGACAGCUGCAAUUACUCAAAGACACACUUACAAGCAGACACCCGUGCAGCAGAGAAGANCAACGGCCGAAAACUCAAUAGUACCAAGGACUAGAUAUAUAUAUAUAUAUAUAUAUAUAUAUAUAUAUAUAUAUAUAUAUAUAUAUAUAUAUAUAACUAUCAGCAUAUAUUGAUAAAAUACAUCGAAAAUGAAUUCUUCAUUUAAUGUAUAAUAAAAUAUCAAAGCAUAAAUGCAUGUGACUAAUUAAUAUGUCCUGAUUACAUACCGCCCCAAAUGCAAUUAACAAAAGAUUUAGUGGUUGGUGUCCGAGCCUUCAUGUUUGAAUUCUAGUUGAUUCACAUUUUUCGAAUAGCAUGCUAUCUUUCUCUUAUAUAUAUAGAGUGAGGCUAUUAUGCUAUUGAUAGCACAACCUCACUCAUGCUAGUGAUUUUUCUAUCAUUGGAUUGCUUUGAGAUCCGUGAUAUAACUUAAUGGGAGAUUAACGGAGAGGGAGCCGUUAAGUUUCUCUCACGCUCUCUCUCCCCUCUCUCGAUCUUCCUGUCUCUUACUCCCCCCCCUCUCUCUCUCUCUCUCUCUCUCUCUCUCUCUCUCUCUCUACGCCUUGGUCCAGACCGAGCUUCGCCGCACGCCCCCGUCGCUCCCUGGCGCUGCCCCCCGCAUGCCGCCGUCGCUCCCUGGCGCGCGCACUUAAACGAGGUAUGAUUUUUUUUUUUUGUUAUUACAACUAAAAAAUAGAUCUACAACUUUAUAUUUGUUUAUUUGAUUGGUUUGAUUUGUUUUUUUUUUUCCUGAUUUUGUUUGUUUGUUUGAUUUUUUUUUUUACAUUUAACCUCUCAUAAAAAAAAUUUAAUUUUGACUUUUUUUUUCAGAUUUUUUUUUUGACAUUUCGUUUGAUUUUUCAGAUUUUGUUUAUUUGGUUUUCAGACUUUAAAAGUUCAAAAAUCUGAAAAUCUGAAAGGAAAAAAAAAAAUCUGAAAUGGUUAGCUUUUUAUAGUUAUAGUUAGUUUUUUAUAGUUAUAGUUUUAAAGGUAUUUCUUUUAAUUUGAUCUCUCAAAAAGAAAAUUCUGAAAAACACUAGCAGAGGAGGCUUUCUUUAAAAAAAAAAAACCGAGAGUUUCCAACAGAAUGCCAACAGAAUGCACAUAUAUUCGAAUUUUGAACAUUCAAAGUAAACACUAGUAAGGAAGGCAUUUUUAAAAAAUUCAUUUAAAUGCUUAAACUAUUAUAUAAAAAUGCUUUUAAUAUUAUAUUUAUAUUUAUAUUUAACAUGUGUUUGUGCGGAUGCAUUUUUUUUUAGUAAAAAUGUCCGGAGAAACCAACUGUACCUAGUGCAGUUUGCUGAGGGGAUGAUGAUUGCUACUGAAGAUUCCAAGUAAGAAGUCUAAUUGAUUUAGAUUUCUAAUUAAAUUCAUUUCUAAAGAAAUAAACAAAGCACUCAAGCUUCCUUUUUCUCCACAAAAAAAAAAAAAAAAAAAAAAAAAAAAAAAAACAAACAAGGAGAACCCCUAACUUAUAGGCUAAAUAUUCCACUCCGCCCCUUCUACUUUAGUCAAAAAAUAAUUAAGAGUUUUUAUCAAACUGAUUGAUGAAUUUAUUAAAAUAAUAAUUUACAUCAUUUUUUUAGAGAAUAGAACUAGACAAAUUAACAAAAAAUAGAGUGAAUAAAUUUGAUAAAAAAUAUUUUUCUAAUUAGGAGCUGUUUGGUUCUACGGAAAAGAAUGGAAAAAGUUUUUAGAUUAAAUUUUUUUAUGGAAAAUCUCGUUUAAAGUUUUCCACAUGUUUGGUUCUAAGGAAAAAAAACUUUUUUGAAAGGAUUUUUUUUCCUAAAUUUUAUAAAGAAUUAGUAUUUUUGUUUCCUGAAAUUUUUUAGAAAAAUAGAAACACUUACUUUUCAUAAAAUCUGAAAUUUUUUUUUUUCAAAAAAGCUAUUCUUUUAGAAUCAAACAGGAGAAAAUUAGAAAAGUAGUUUCUUAUAAAGAAUCUUUUUCUUGAAAAAUAAUUUUCUAUACUUUUUGGAGGAAUCAAAUAGCCCCUUAAAUAUAACCCAAGAAAAAAAAAGAUGAAGUUGAGGGGAUGUCAAUUAAAAAAAAAAAAAAAAAAAUUUUAGUUUUUAUAACUAACAUUAUUUAAUUUUAAAAUUUAGAAGUUGAGGGGUCUCAAUCAAGGGAAAAAAAAAAAAAAAAAAGAGUUAAGGAGUCUAUUUUAGAAUCGCCAAAAUUUUCUCUAUUUGGUUGAACAAUUGUUUUUCUCCACCUAUUUGUUUUGAUUAUCUAUCCUAUCAUCAAUUAAUAAACAUCUUUAAUAGCUAUGCAAUGUUUGCUUGAUGCUAUAUGCCUUAAGAGCUAUGCAAUGUUUUGUUUUGUUUUUCUUUUUUUUUUUCCAACACACAGGGGAUUGAAUCACUGACCUCCUCCACCCUUCACUCCUCUCCCCAAAACAAUACACAUCAUCUACACUAGCACAUCUACACUAGCAGCUGGGUGUAGCUAUGUAAUGCUUUAAUUUGGGGAGUUAGUUUGCAGUAGAAGGAAAAUUUUGUCUUACGUUUUUUGCUUUUUAUCUUCUUAUUUUCUUCUUUUUUAUUUUGGGUAAAUUGUAUAGAACUUGCUUGGACUGUGGAUCAUUCUGGAUUGGUUAUACAACCUUCAAAAUUAUCUUCUGUGAAUAAAUUAUCUUUUACAAAGUAAGCUCCUUAAAUUGAGGGGCUUCUAUAUUCCUGAAUAAAUUAUAUUCUUGAAUAAUAUCGUAUAUGUGAAACAAUAAAAGAUUGGUUAACAAAAGUGUAUCCGCACAAAGAGAGAGAGAAGAAACAGAGAGAUGUAUCCAGAGAGAGAGAGAGAGAGAGAGAGAGAGAGAGAGAGAGAGAGAGAGAGAACUUUGGUAGGUGAUGCUAGUAACAGGCUAGCAACACUUUUGGAAUAGAAUGAAUUUGUUGAAUUUGAUAAAAUAACAACACCUUUCUAUUCCUUUUUCUUUCUCAUAUUCAUCAAGUGUUUUUUUUUUUGUUUUUUUUUUGGUUCAUACACAACUGUUCUUCAUUUUCAAUCCACAUUGGUGAGUCAAGGUUCAUUACAAAUUUUUGUUCACUGAAUUAUAGGGUGACAUACAUACCUCAAUCUGCAAUACAACAAUGGAAGCCAUAGAAGGGAUGGCCCGUCUAGAAGUGCCUCUAAUUUCUGUUGCUGAUGAUGUUGGCACAUCUAGUGAAAAGGUCAAUAGCGGAAUUGCUGAGGAGGCUACUAGUUCAGUCACCGAAUCGAGUAUGAAUGUGGAUUGUUGGAUUAAAGAGGUGGAGAAAAAAUGCAAGGGCGCAUCCGAAGGUUUGCUAUGGCAGUCCAAGAUGCCCGACGAUAAAGGAGAGCAGUUAUCUCAACAAAGGGCAGUGGCGAUAGGGCCAUUUAAUAGGGACAAGAGCACACAUAUUACUGAUAAAGAAAAAUAUUUGAUUGUCCACCUGAUGAAUAAUCUAUACGAUCAUCUUGACUUGGAAGGCUGCUUCAAAAUGAUAAAAAAUCAAGUAGUAGAUGCUCGCAAAUGGUACUCCGAUUCAGAUAUGCCUGAAAGCUUUGGCUCUACAAAUGACAACACAUUUGCAGAGAUGCUGCUGCUAGAUAGCUGCUUCAUCUUGUUUAUGUUGACGUCCAUCAGUGAGAUUCAUAGUAAAGUGACUCGUGAGGGAGUGAUUCUACAUAGACAUUAUUGUUCAAAGAGCCUAAAGAUUAUGCCGGGUAAGCUGUUUGGAGCCGAUUCUUCAAAGAAGCAGGAGAUUAAGCUGGCUCUAGACGUCGUGCCUAGAUUUGCCGGCAUAUUACGUCACAAAGACAUGAUCAUGGUGGAUUUGCUGACCCUCCAAAACCAAAUCCCUUUCUUUGUGAUCGAGGAGCUAUUUAAGAAGCUCCAGUUGGAGAAUCCACUCCAUAAAUAUGCCCUCAAGUUCUUCAAGACAGUCCAUCCAAGGUCCACGCAAGGUUGCAAGGGCAAAAAUAGUCCUCCCAAAUUCCUACAUUUGCUCCAUCUUUUCCACUGGUCUCGAGUCCCAAAGAAUAAGUGUGAUGUACUUAGAUCAUGGCGUCCCCAGCUAGAUGAUUUUUACUGGGAUUGCAAAACUCCGAGUGUGAUGGAACUUGGAAAAUCCGCCACAGGGUUCAGAAAGAAAACAUCAGGCAGCUCACUGGAUAUCUCAUUUGGGAGGGGUAGGCUUCUACCCAUUGUCCCGGUGCUCAACAUCCCACGCUUACACAUCCGUGAAUAUAGCAGCCGCAUCUUCCGUAACCUCAUUGCUUUUGAGAUGCAACGUCCAAGAUCGGAUCGCCGCACCAUGGCUUUUUCUGUAAUUAUGCAGAACUUGCUGCAAAGCGAGGAAGAUGUGAAGCUGUUUCGGCAAUGUGGCAUUUUGGCGAACACAUGCAUGACCGACAACAAAAUCGUUAAUUUUUUCAAAAGCUUGAGUCUAUCGAUCGGAAAGGAUGAUAUGCCAAUCGAUGUGUAUGUCUUUUGUCAUCAGGUCCUGUCUUACCACAAUGGUCGAAUCAGUUGAUUCCGUGCCAACGCCAUUCUCAAGUACUUCCCCAACUGGUGACUUUUUCUGUGUUCCCAGCUCCCAUGCUUGUUGUUCUUACCCUCCAGCAAACCCUAUAUUCUAUGCUCAGCUUCUAUAUAUCAUUGUUGAAUGCCCCAAAUUCUACUCAGUAUGAUGGUAAUGCAUGCAUAUAUAUAUUAUCGAACUAAAAAACAUUUUGUACCAAUGUUUAUGGACCACCAUCUUGGGAUGGAAAAGAAGAGUUCUGUGAUGAGCUCCUUGCUUUGGGAGCGGUUUGUUCCAACUAUAAAUGGGCUAUUUGUGGAGAUUUCAAUUUUACCAGAAACCAGGCUGAACGCACCGGGAACCGGGGGAGCAAUAAAGCGAUGUCAAUGUUUUCAGACCUCAUUUCAAAUCUCGAAGCCAUCGAUCUGCCUAUUGCCAACCAAAAUUUUACUUGGUCGAACAUGCAAAGCGCACCGACCCUGGCCAAACUGGAUAGAUUUCUUGUCUCGACGGAGUGGGAUCAAGCUUUUCCGCUUACCAGGAUUUCCGCACUACCUAGAAUUACCUCAGAUCACACCCCUUUAAUACUCGAUACUGGAAACUCGAGCACUCAGAGGAGAUUUCGGUUUGAGAGAGUAUGGCUUACUAGGUCGGACUUCACAAAUUUCGUACCAAUCUGGUGGAACGAAGUAUCUGGUCAGAGGUCUGCCAUCCUUACGCUGACGGCGAAGUUAAGACAUUGCAGAAACAGGAUGAAGGAAUGGUGUAAGACGAAAUUUCAUAGCAUAUCCAUCGCGAUAAGAUCUUUACAGGAAGAAAUUCGGAGCAUUGAUCUUUUGGAGGAAAGGAACAUCUUGACCCAGGAAGUACGGGAUAAACGAGUUGACCUUAAAGCGCAGCUCCAACUCAUCUUAAAGGAAGAAGAAAUCCUGUGGAAAACGAGAGCUAAACAGCACUGGCUAAAGGAAGGAGACAGCAAUACAAAGUUUUUUCAUGCAGUGGCCAACGGGCGGAAGCGUUGUAAUGAGAUUCACUCUAUUGAAGAUGAGGACGGAAGACAAUUCAGUAACGAAGAGCUUAAGAAAUCCUGUUUCUUUCAAUCCUUUAAACGUCUUUUCGAAAGUGUGGAAGAUGACCCGCCGUCUUUCGGCGACUGGGCCGACCUGUAUCGUGGAGACGUCUCACUUGACACGGAUUCCCUCACAAGCCCCUUCACUAUAGAUGAAAUUAAAAAGGCGACUUUUCAACUGGGAAGUGACAAGGCGCCUGGUCCCGACGGCUUCCCGCUAAUUUUCUUCCAACACUUCUGGGAAACAGUAAAGGAUAACAUUCUUGAUAUAUUCAGAGACCUUCAUAGCGCGAAUCUCUUUACGGCACCGGUCGACUACACGUACGUAUGCCUAAUCCCCAAAAAGGAAGGAGCACGCCUGGUUAACGAUUUCAGACCGAUCUGCCUUCUGAACGGAAUACAAAAGAUUAUCUCGAAAGUUCUUGCGAACAGACUUGCGGGGGUAUUACCUUCUAUCAUCUCUCCUUCACAAUCAGCGUUCCUGGAAAAUCGACUAUUAGCUGACUCGUUCGUCACUGCGAGUGAACUUCUCAACUGGUGUGCAAAAACUAAUAGGGAGUGCGUCAGUGUUAAGGUGGAUUUCGAGAAAGCUUAUGACAAAGUCAGCUGGAGGUUCUUGCAAAGUAUAUUACGAUGGCUUGGGUUCAGUGACAAAUGGUGGAACUGGAUUGAACAAUGUAUCGGCAACGCUAAAGUUGCAAUCUUAGUAAACGGCUCGCCGACUAACUGGAUGAAAACAAGGAGGGGACUGAGACAGGGGGAUCCACUAUCCCCCUACUUAUUCAUUUUAGUGGCUGACUGUCUGGCUAGGGUCACGAAAGCAGCAAGGGCUAACAGUUUACUUCAGGGAAUAGGACCCACAGACGAAUGUCAAACAGUAAUUCUGCAGUAUGCGGACGACACUUUAUUCUUCGCAAAGCCCAAGAAGUCUGCUAUGCGCAAUCUACUCUUCAUCUGGAAGAUGUUUGAAUGGGCAUCUGGUCUUAAGGUAAAUAUGAACAAGACGGAGCUUUACCACUUAGGUAUCACCGCUAACAGAGCGAAACGAUAUGCGGAUAUUUUGGGGUGCAGAGUCGGUAGCCUACCGUUCCGCUACUUAGGCCUUCCGCUACAUAUCAACCCCCUUCGUAAGGAAGAGUGGAUGCCGAUCAUCAACCGCAUCGAGACGCGCAUUGAAGGAUGGAAGGCAAAACUCCUCUCUCAAGGGGGGCGACUCAUCUUGGUCAACUCGGUUCUUUCAAAUCUUCCGUUAUUUUACUUCGCAAUCUUCAAAGUACCGCAAUGGGUGCUGAAACGAAUUGAAGCGCUUAGAAGAUCUUUUUUCUGGAAAGGGUGUUCCAAAAUUUCGGGUGGGUCUUGCCUCGUUGGUUGGAAAACGAUUUGUAGGAGCAAAAAAGAAGGAGGUCUAGGGAUAAAAGACAUGGAAGCGACGAAUAAGGCGCUUUUAGCAAAAUGGUGGUGGCGCUUAUUCAACGAGAAAGGUCUGUUAUGGGGGAAGUUGAUCAAUGCAUUAUAUUACACCAGAAGAAGGCCGCUAUGUGAAGGCAGAUCCUUCAGACCGUACUCUCAGUGGUGGAGAAGUGUGAUGAACUGUCGAGACGUGUUCAAGUGCGGUGUUUCAUAUGUCCUCGGUGAUGGGAAAAAUAUCAGGUGGUGGUCGGAUAUUUGGAUCGAUGAAACCCCUCUCAGUACCCGAUUUCCACGAAUCUUCAGCAGUAUCAUACAUCAGGAAGCCACGGUCUCACAAUGUUGGAACGGAAGAGGAUGGAGAUGGCGCUACUUAACCAGAGGCUAUGAUACUCGUACCAUUGGUCAGAACUGCCAACAGACGGCGUUGCUCAAAAACCUUCUCUCUCACUUUAGCCCAUCAGAUGCACAGGACAAACUAAAGUGGCGGUGGACUACCAACCAAAUUUUUACCGUCAAAUCUCUCUAUGAAUUCAUCACCGACGGAGGACAGACUGAUACCUCGUACGACCACCUAUGGGGCUUAAAAAUCCCACUCAAACACAAAGUUUUCAUUUGGAUUCUACUACGAAAGAGAUUACCUACGGCAGACAGAUUGCUUCGCCGAGGAUGCAUCGUGGAUCAGCAAUGCAGGUUUUGUGUGUCACUAACUGAAACCGUCGACCACCUAUUCCACGACUGUAUCGUUGCCAGAUUUUUUCGUUUUAAAGCAAGAGUUCUAGAGGAGGAGAUUUCGGAAGUGGGGGAUGUUUGCCACCUGUGGACACUGAUCUCGGACAUACCCGUGGCCGUUACAAGAUCAAAAUUGUUAACCAAGCUGGCGGCAAUUUGGUGGGUCGUUUGGACGGAGCGCAACGGCAUAUGCUUCCGCGACGUGGCCUUUAAUGUUUCCAGGGCUCUCGAACGUGUCGCCGUUUUGACCGAAGCCUGGAACGAAGCACUUUGAUUAUCCUCCGGGCUGGGUGCCCUGCCCGUGUCUCCCCUUUGCUGAUUUUGGUUUGCUCGUGUCUACUGGGUCUCACGGACCUGGUUUUUUUCUCUUAUUUAUCUCCUUUCUUCCUUUCUCUUGUUCCCUCGGUUCGGAGGCCCUAGCUGCUUCCAAUUUGUAUGCUAAAUUCAUUUUGCUUAAUGAAUGAAGCAGGUAGCUUGCUACCUUUUUCUCAAAAAAAAAAAAACAAAGUGUCUUUGAUAAACGAAAAGCCAGUGAACUCCGUAGGGAACAUUUGAUCACAUGGGAGAGCACGCUCUAAUCAAAUCAUCUUCCCCGGCCAAAUGUUUCUCCAGCUAAAUAUUUUCAUCUUUUUUUUAAAAAAAGAAAAGAAAAGAAAAUUGAUAGAUGAAUGGGCAAGUAAGGUCAUUCCUUGUGAAAUUCUCUCGACAUAAAAAUUUGAUGAGAUCGAUGGAGAAAACAAUAAGAACGAUAAGAAAUUUAUUGGUUCGGCAAAUCCUUUCAAGGAACUCUCUCUCAGGGAUCUCUCUUUUCUCUCCGACGACAAUUUCACAUGGAGGUUGUAAGUUGUGGAAUCUAAAACAAUGGUUUCGAAACAUAACACUCCAUAACAAGUUUCAGCAUGCAUGCCAUGUUCUGGAACUUAAGUUGUUAGUUCCGGAACAAAGCUCACAUUCUUGAACAUGAAUGAGACGUUCUUGAACAUGAGUUCUCAGACUAGCCUCCAACGCCUUCGGAUUCCACGAACCGUUGCCUCAUAUUCCCAAACACACUUUAUACGAUUUCGAAACAUGAAUCUUGUGACCUGAACACUCGACUCUUGAUCAAUAUUGAAUCGACUCGAAACGUGACUUCACCUCGAUCUAACAAGAUCAUUCCUAAGAAUGAUCAUUCUUACUAUAAAUUUACUAGUAUCUCUAAUCACUGUACUUCCAACUACGUCUGUUUUAGUAUGAAUUGAAAUGCAUUUAGCUACAAAUAUAGCAAACCUAACCCACUCCUCUUUAAAUAUAUAUAUCUCAACACUUUGGAAGCUUAACAAGCCUUAACUAUGGUGUAUGAUUUUGAGGGUUACAGUUAAUGACAACUUGUUAGCUCGAGUGGCGUGAGCCAAUGGCUCAAGUUGCAUUAGAAAAACAAUGAUAAAGGUCCCAAGUGCAUUGCACCUUCAAAAUAAGACACCCCCCUGCGGGAAAACAUAUGCGCAUUUUCGCAUUAAUUGUUGUACUCUUCUGACACGAAUAUUGUGGCGUUGAUUGUUUCCGUGUACGUAAGAGAUCAUGUAAGUAAUAUCAAUCAGUAAUCUGUAACGUGCAGAUGAUUAAAUUAUUCGACAUUUGUAUCGGUUGCAGUUUAAAUUUCGAGUAUUCUUUCCCGUUACGACAGAAAAAUGAAAAGUUCGAUCUUGAGAUUUCCGAAGGCGGAGAAUACUUUCGAUUUAAUCCAUACCACCGUAUAGCUUAAGAUUUCCGUCGAUCCUCCUACGUUGAUUCCUGCACCACUUUAUGUCCAUUUCUUUCUUUGAUGAUUCCUGCAUCUCUUUUAUGUCCAAUUCUUAGUUGUCCCCUUUCCUUGGUACUUACAAGGCAAGAUACACAUGUGCAACAGAGAUAAAGAGAGAUGACACAGAGAAAUCAAGAACGAAACUGGAGGGAUUAAGGUCGAUAGGACGAUCUGUUUGAGCCUCUUUUCACCCCCUCCUCGAAGGCGAAGAGAGCGCAGAUAGGAGGAGCAAGAGAGGAAGGUUUGAUGGCAGGUCAUUUCGGCUCGGAUGCAGUGCUGCUGGUGGUGGUGCUGGCGGCAAUUCUUCUACUGCUCCCUUUGGUGCUUCCUCCGCUGCCGCCGCCACCGUCGCUGCUCCUCUUAGUGCCCGUCGGGAUGGUGCUGCUGCUCGCCUUUCUCGCUUUCGCCCCCUCUCACAACACCUUCGGAAACGCAAACUUUCCGCAAUGAAACAAAACAUCCAUCGGUACGUAUCUCGCGACCGCAAACACCUCUCAUUUGUCUCUUUUCCUCUUUCACCUUUACUUCCAGAAGCAUUAAAGGAAAGGAGAGGAAAGAUGAUAAAAAUGGAAAGCGACUAAAAGACAGAUUCCUUCUUAUCACUUACUGAUUAUUUGUUGGUUCUUCUACAUCAAAUACUAUUUCCAUCAAUGUUGUAUUUGAUUCUUCCCCUCAUAGGAUGAGUGAAUUAUUUUCUGGGAAGAGGCCUUAGGGAGAACUUUUGCUCUGCCCACGGCCAAAGAUCAAACACAAAUUUACAUGUGAAGAGGAAAUAAAUGGGAGAAGGGAACAAAAAGGGAGGCGCCCGUCGGAAGCAGGAUGAAAUAUAACCCCUACCCUUGGAGCAGCUGCGGUGGUUGCGAUUGUUCGGGCGGACUCUGCAGCGGAGUCAAGCAAUAGAGGAAUAAGCCGGCAACGAGAACUGCAGCACCAGCAACGAAGCCCGCUGGGAGCGAUGACGCCACUCCGAUGUAUGGUAAGGGCAGUGUGAAUGCGUAGAUGGACAACGGAACUGCACCACAACCAUCAUCAACAAACUGUUACAUUUUCCACUUAAAAUGUACCUGGUUUUGAAAGGUAGAAGGGAACGGCGGAAGAAAAGAAAACAGAGAAAGACCGGUGCUACUAGUUAGAUUUGUUUUCAUUGACAUUUGCAAAAGUAAUUGAUAUGUUGAUCUUCUGUAACUCCGCAAAUGAUCGUUAUGAACAAAACAAUUCAUAUCUUCCGAAAUCAAAACAAGAGAAGCUAAUUGAUUAUACAAAACGUGCCGAGUAAGACUUCACCAUCAGGUAGCAUAAGGAGCUCGAGAAAAUUAAAGUAUCAUUUUGUCACCCAGGGCAUACCAAUUUAGACUAUUUUAUCUCUGAAAUCAAAUGGAGAAUAACAAACGAAGCUGAUUUAAUUAUUUUUGUCAUAAUAGUAACUAAAAAGGAACCUACGAUGUCAGUGAGUAAAAAUACCCAAGCUUUUACCCGGAUCAGAACCUGAAUGAGGCGGUUUUAACCGAACAUAAUUAGGGACAGUUUCAGUGAUCGGAAAGAAAUUAACAGAUAAGGCAAGGAAAACAGAUAGCAGUUACAUAGAGAGAGAGUAAUGGGAAGACCAGAGAGCUAACCUGAAAAUGUGGAAGCAAGGCAAGAUACCACUGCAGAAGACAUUUUGAGAAGGUGUAGCAAAGAUAUGUUGAAUGCCAUGUUAACUAUUACAAAGAGAAGCGGCAGCAGCGGUGCUCCUUCACAUCCUGCAAGAAACCAUCAUUAUUAGGAACUUUAGUUGGAAAGAAGGAAAAAGAACCCAGCAGAAGCUGAUGUGAAAUAUGAAUUGUGAUAAGUACCAGCCGAUAAUGAUCCUAUAUUGAGAAAACAAGCUGCACCAUCUCUUAUGUAUGUAGGCAGGAGAUGGAAUGGAACUCCCCACAACUUAGACAAAAGGGGUAGAAGAAGACAUAUAAAGAAUGCCUGCAAAAUAUCAUUUUUAAUUGUUAAGAAAGUUCAAAUUCCAAUUGAAAUUUGGGUUUCAAGUUAUUGUCAAAUAUGGUAGGCACCUGGUAAGCAGAUCCGAACGAGUUGACAACAAAAAGAUCAACCGUUCCUCCCUGUGGUAUGCAGAUUUUGCUUGUUAGGAAGCAUUAUAAGUAUAAAACACAAACGAAGAAUUGAAAAGGUAAUAUACUGAUAAGUGAAUAGUGACAAUAUUUUGCUAUCAUAACUUCCGAGAAAGAUGAUUAUGGCCAAGAUUGGGAAUAAUUCUCCCAGUGCAGCAGCUUUGAGUUUUUAAAUCACCAUACAAAUCUGAAAACGCCUGAAAGCUCCAUAUCUUCCUAUGUGCCCAAUAACACCGAAAAUGUGGCUGGACAUUAGAUUGAUAUUAAUACUGGAAGGCUGGAGAUCUAAAUUGCUUUCAGAUUUUUAUGGAGCUCCAAAGUACCCAAAAUGGCUGCUACAGGAGAAGCAAUCAUAAUCAAGUCCUGUAUAGUGCAACACAAAGAGAUCAAUAAUACCAACGAGUGUACCUUCAGCUUCUUUGCAGCAUCCAAGAAUAUUAUCUCCUACAGAUUAACAAUGUUUGACUGCAUCAGAAAAAACUUAUCUUAACAACUUGGGGUAGUGGAUAUAAUUUCUCAUAUCUACUUCGGUAGUUUUGAUACCUUCAAAACUGUGUCGGCAGCUUGAAACAAAAAUGAAGUAAUCAUCAAAAGGGGCCAAAAUAUCCCAGAGCCUUUAAGCGAAACGCUUGCACCAGAUCCACUGCAUAUGUCAAAGUGAAAGUACUAAUAGUAGAAUGACUCAGAAUUAUAGAAAGUAUUUACUAAUUUCUACUCAUAGCAUCAGAACAGGGUAUCUCUAUAGCACUUCCACUUUUCAUCAAACCGGCCGAUUUUAGGGAAGCACUUCCAAACUAGACCUUAAGGUACUAACUAUUUUCUGGUCAUGCUACCAAUUAUGCAUCAUGCAUCAUAUGGAAAUAAUCAUCAAUAUAGAACAACUUACUGCAAGGAAGAGUACAUGUCCCUGCUAGAAGUGCAAUGCAGCUGACAACUGUUUUAGCAUGCUUGCAUAAUAUGGUCCUUGAACUCAUCAUGAGUAAUUAUAGAAAAUCUGGUAAUAGAGUAAGAAUUUCUAUUUAUUGCUUACAAAUAAGUGAAUCAACUUUCAGUAUUUCAGAGGAUGCUUAUAAAUAGUUCAGAAGCUUCUCAUUUACAAAGCCAAUGCGAACAGGGCGAACAGGGCAAUUUCAGUUAUUAUUAUAACAAAAACUCAAGAUUUGAAACAUUUCUUUCUUCUUUGUGCGUUAUACGGUCAAUGAUAUGUUACUGAAUUCAUAUUCGCUGAAUAUACCUUGCUACAGUUAUAAUGACACCAAUAGCAACAAGUAAGCAUCCUAGUAGCUGGUUGGACUUGUAUCGUCUCCUCAGAAAAAUAACCGACAAGAUAAGCUGCCAAACAAGAAAGGUCUGCAAAAAGAAACAUUACAAACUAUUAAUUUUGAAAUACACAUAUACCUGAAAUCAUAAAGGAUGUAAAACAGUGAAAAGUUUAUUCACCUGCGAUAGUAUUGGAAUUGAAGCCCCGGAAAGAACAGCUGCUCCAAGAAAGAGUGAGCAAAUCAAACCAAGUAUGAUAAGUAUUAGAAAUUAAAAUUGAUUCACUUUCACAAAAGAACUCCGAAAAAUGGGGGAGAGGUUAAAAAAGAAAAAGAAAAAAAAUAUACUGAAACUCAUGGGAUCUAACAACUUUGUGUGUGUGUGUGUGUGUGUGUGUGUGUGUGCGCAUGUGACAAUUUGUACAUGGACAAUAGCAGACAAUAAAUUGGCCAGAUAUCACUGUAUACUUUAUAGUGUCAAAUGUCACUAUGAAUUGGAAAGCAGUGCGAUAACAACUUGUACACAUGUCAUAACAUGAAGAAUUAAAAGUGUCAAAUUGAUUUUAUCUACUUUGUGUGCAUCGAAAGCAUUUUGAUUUAGCUUCUAGAAUUUUGUCUACUACAUGUUUACAUGAGGAACAGACAGAUUUACCAGCUCAGUUGUACUGCAGAUGUAUCCUUUUAGAAUAGGAUAAAUGAUGCAUGUAUGAUUGACUACAGAAAACUAAUAAACUUUCAAAAAUGAACUUUACCUCCAGCUGCCAUGCCAGAUGCGGCUCCUAGAGCUUCUAGCAGUCCUACAGCUAGAAACGGCGUCUUUGGUAGAGAAAGCAUUUCAUGGGUUACAAUGCCAGCGUGAUAGCGAAUAUACAGGAUGGAGAAGUACACAACCACAUAUCUGGUAUUCAAAAGUACGCAUGUAGCCAAAUUAGAAAUAUCACUUACCAAAAUGUGAAUAGAUGAAUGAGUUCAAAUUUUGUAGUACAUUGUGAGUGAUAAAAGCAUGCUAACGCUAAGUUUGGUUUUUGGUUAACUAACAGAACAAUAGGUCAUAUACAAACUAAGCGAUACCCCCAAGUUUCAAACCAUCUAGAAACUCGUUAUACUAAACAAUAUUCUUUUUAGCAUAUAAUAACAUGACCAAUUACAUGAUCUAAUUAUCACCCCAGGAUUUCGAUAUCAUUCGAAUGCAGAUCCGGUUCACGAGUUGGUCAAACCGGUUGAUAGAGCCAUUGGGUCGUCGAACCCGAAAGCUAUGGUCGAGAGAGCUGCUACUCAGAGUCUCGGAUCAACCAAUUGGUAAAAUAACUAGUUGCCUAGUUAGGAUCAAUCCCCUGUUAGAAUCAUACCCUUCCAAUUUAAAAUUGUACUCGGAAUGCUCUCUCUCGAGGACAUAGGCUCCAAAACAAAUGUUUAUCCACCACUUUUAUGUCAUGAAUUUAAUGAAUUAUUAAGAAAGAAGAGUAUAGUUCAAUCUAAAGUACAUCUCAAAUUUCUGGAGUUUCAAUGUCCUUUUUCCGCUGGACAAUGUAGAACACAUUUGGCAAGGGCUGCUCUAAUUUUAUAUUUUUCACAAAAAAAUCAAACAAUAUUUUAAGCUUGGAAUUAUAUUUCUAUGAUAAAAAGCAAAGUAAACGUGUUAAGAACACGCUUACGCACAUGUAAAAUUGCAGCAUCCGUGAUAUUUAAGAGGCUACAAUCAGAUGCGCACUAAUAAGCUUUUGAGUGGUACGAGUCCCACAUUAUUUCAACUAAGAAACAACUUGUCUAUGCGUAACAGGAUGGUCAGACUUGUUGCCUGCUGGUGGGUCAUUUGGACGACCAGGAAUGAUGCAAUUUUUAGUAAGACCGAGCCGGACCCCCUACGUGAUGUCUAUAAGAUUAAACAGUUGACGAACCUGUGGGAGCAUCAUAUCACAGCUAAGAAGUAACAACAUAUCACCCUUUUUUUUUCACCCUCCUCAAGACUUCGGAUGCCUCACCCUUGUAAUUUAAUUCAUCCUUUUAAUGAAUGAAGUAACAUGUUAGUUUUCCCUCAAAAAACAAACAACUUAGUCAAUUUUAUGUAUUUUUCUCAAAAGACAAAACAUUUUUUUUCAAUAUUAAUUAAUUGUGCAUUAAUUUAUGAAAGUCAUAGGAAAUGGGAAAUGGGAAAUGGGAAAUGGAAGGUGCGUAACGGCUUUUCGCAGCCGCAACGCGCCACGCCACACGUUCCGUUGCUCGACACAACGACACACGACGAGCUCGAACGUGCCAAACAAAAUGUGGGGCCCAACGACACGUGCUCUUUCUUUUUCUUUUUCUUUUUCUUUUUUCCACUUCUUCAUCUCACGACAAUAUCAGAAAAUUUCUAAAUAUAAAUAAUUAGUUUUAAUAGUAAUUAUAAUCCGCUCUUUUUAUAGAUUUUUGUUUAAUAAUGAUUACAAAAUUGGGGAAAAAAAUUGGACAAAAAAGCGACCACAUACAGUCCUAUCAAGUCGCACGUGGACACGUGUACGAUAACGGAGAUCGACACAGCACUUUUAACCGCCGUUAUUUCCCUCGGGAACAAAUCAACCUACUCUUUCUCACGGUACAGCUACGCCGUUAAUGACACUUCAGACGACAAAAUUAAAAAGAAAAAAAAAAAAACAUUGCACCACGAGUGUCCAAAAUUAAUCCAAAUCUGAUCGAUGUUUUAACAUUUAAACUAAAAUUUCUAAAUAAUUAUUUUUAAAAGUAUUUACUUAAUCAAGAGAAAUUUACACAUUUUAGCAUUAAUAGUUUACAAGAAAAAGAAAGCAAUUUCCAAAACUUAAUUACAGCAAAAUGAGAAAAAUUAGACCGAAUUAUUAUCCAAAUUAAAUUUGAAAAUUAGAAAAAUAAGGAGGAGGAGGAGGAGGAGGAGGAGGAGGGAGUGGUGGAAACACNAAACAUUUUGUACUACCAAAUGUUGGAUAUAUAUAUGUUUACAUUCAGUAUUCUCUAUUACUAACUAAUUUGGUGUUCUUGCGUUAUUAGUGUAGUGGCUUUUUAUUUAUAUGAAAUUUCUUCACACAUGUGACUCUGGAUGAGAUCUGUGAUGCACAUAUAAAUCACAAAUAAGGGUCAGGGGUAUCAAGGAUUUUAGUGCUCGUCACCACAAGCUGUCUCUACUUUAUUAUACUAUGUUGACAAAAUAUUGACACGAUACAAUUUCAUGCCAAAGGCACGUACGGCUCAAACCCUCUUUUUUUUUUUUUUUUGUCACAUUAGCAAAUAGUUAUCUAAACUAGGAAAGAUCAGAUAAAAAUAAAAUUAAAGCAUGAAAUCCUUUAUGCUUCCUUCCUAAAGCUCUCUACCCAACUUGGGAGAGAGCUUCUAGAGAGAGGGAGAGAAAUGAGAGAGGAGUGUAAUAGCUGUGAGAGAGAGAGAGAGAGAGAGAGAGAGAGAGAGAGAGAGGGUGUUGGGAUCUUUUUAUAAGUUGUUACAAUAGCAAAAAGGCCCUCAUUUUUUUUUAUUUACAGCAAACCUAACCUGCUGUUUCGCAGUCGGCAUACCGGUACGCGGGCAAUUUGUCACCGGUACGCUCCCGCGCAGCUGCCGAGAUUCGAGACCUGAUGUUCUCGGUCUGGCGUAGGGUAUCAGUACUCGGGAAAAUAGUCACCGAUCAAUAGCCUUGACGGAGGCUAACCCGAGAGCUGCUACUCUCGGUCAGCUGCUUGGUGCCGGUACUCUUUGAAAUAGUCACCGGUUAACAAUGCUUCAAAAUUUUCGUUUUACAUUAUUUCGACUUUAUUUCGCACCGAGUAAUAUUAAAACCUUUUUAACUCACUUGGAACUCAACUUUGACCCUUCCAACAUUAUUGAAAUGCUAAUUGGAUUUUGUCCAAUUAUUUCUCUCGCACACUUUAGUCGAUUUGACUAAAAUUCGAUAUACACUAUCGAGGCUUCGGUAUAUUACACUGGACGUAAUGUCGUUUAAGCUGCUCCAUCGCCCGAAGGGAGGGCUCGUUGCGGCGACCGUAGGGGCCGAUGGCGACCAUUCGGGGCUUGUACAGCACCGUGUUGCGCUCCCGGAUGAAGGCUGCGACGCGGAAGAAGGUGAAGUUCUUAUCCGCGGCCGUCGGCUCAUCGCUCAAGGCGCGUUGUUUAUGCCUGGCUCUCAGCAGGGACUUGGACUUGGGAAUAUCUAGUGCCACUUCCACUCCUUCCAUCGUCAACCUGUACCAGAGGUUCUCAAACUCUCACGAAUUUAUUGGUGCAGAAAAAAUAGGAUGAAAGAGUCCUCCCUCGGCUUAUCUAUAUCCGCAGCUAUGUUAGUUAACUCACGAAUUAUUCGCGAAUUUUUGAAAAAACAAAUUAAACGGCCGAAUACGUAUUUUUUCGAAAAAUUCGAAAAAAAAGUGAUUUUUUGACUAAAAAAUACGGAUUCGCGUAUUAUAGGGCGAGCCGUAUUAUUCGGCCAAAAGAAACUGCUCACACCCGCGCAGCCCGUGCCUGCCCCCGCCGCUCGUGCCUGCCCGCGCUCCCGCGGGCUCCCGCACGCGCGCAUGGGCCGGCGUGCCCAAAACAGUGAAAUGCCAAAAAAAAAAAAAAAACUCUCCAAACACCUUGCCUAAGACCCAAAAAAAAAAAAUUUUCUUUUCAAAUUUUUACUUAAUUAAUUUAAUUUUAUAGCUAUUUAUUUUUAUAUUUUUUAAAAAAUAUGAAUAUUUAUACUAAUAGCAUAAAUUUUAAAAAAAAAAUAAUUUAAUAGCCGAAUUUUUUAUCCUGAAUUUUUAAUUGGUAAACGUAUAAUAUCCGUAUAAAUCACGUAUCCGAAUAAUUGAUGAAUCUAUUUUUUAGCCAUACUUUUCAACGAAUUUAAAAAUUAGAAAACGAAUUUUAUCCGAAUUAUAUCCGUACCAAAUUUUUACCGAAUCCGAAUUAACUAACUAUGAUCUGCAGACGCAGAGCACCCUGGAUUGGGACAGAAAUUAUUCGGAGAUUUGAAAUUCAAAAAAAUAAAAGUGUAUAUUUGAGCCCGUCGAACAUAUCGCUAUUUGGACGUUAGAUUUCACAUCUCGAGUAAAAAUCUAAUAUAUAUUUAAAAAUCACAAAAAAAUAAAAAAAUUAAAUAGUUUUUUAGAUAAAUUUUUAGUUUCAAAACUUAGUAUCAAAUUAAUUUUCAAACUCUUAAUUUUAAAAUUUUUAAAAUUCUUAAUUAUUUUAUGUUAGAUAUAUUUAUAUAAUUUUUAAUACUAAUCUUUUUUUUUUGAGAAAAAGAUAAUAUAUUAUCCCCUUCGUUCAUUUUUUUUUGAAAAUAAACUUACACAGAAUUAUGAAAUAAUUAGGUUCUAAACUUAGAACUUCAGUUACCAACCGCCAAGUCUUUUGUCAAUUACACUAGAGACCAGCGGUUAUUAGUGGAUUUACAUAAAAAUUAUUAUUAUAUCAAAAGUCUGCAUAAUUAUUUGUCAUUAAGUUUUGAAACUAAAAAUUUCAAAUUUCUUUCUAGUAAUUGUUUUAAUAUAUGUAAAAUUAUUUAAAUUAAUUGGUGCUGAGUGCUGAAAACUAAUUAAAUAAGGUGUCUCGAAAUAUGAGAUUAGUGCACACGGGAAGAUAAAUUUUACAUUCGUAAAUUCAUAAUUUUUUUUCUUCACCCCUUUUUGACUUUUAUUCCCUGUGGUGCUUUCUUUUUUUUUCUUUUUUGUUGAGAGAAAGAUAACAUAUUAAUUAUUUUGUUUAUUUUUUUAAAAUAAAUUUAAUUAAAAAUGUGAAGCAACUAUAAUUGAAAUUUUAAAUUUUGGAUAUCAAUUACUAAACCUUUUGCGCAGCAGCUGGGACGUUUUUAAGCCCUCGGAGCUAUAUUUAGGGAUGUCGAUGGGUAUAGAUACCAAAAAUUUUAUCCGAAUCGACCCAAAUGAAACGGAUAUAUCCGCUGGAUAUGAAUAUGAAUUCGAAUAUAGAUAUGAAAAAUAGAAACCCGACGAAUAUAUAUUCGGAUAUGGAUUUUGAUUGUGCCUGACCUAACCCGAACCCGAUCCCGAUCCCGAUCCGAGACCGAAUUUAUUUUGUAUUAUAUUAUAUAUAUAUAUAUAUAUAUAAAUUUGAUGUUAUAUUUGAAUUUAUAUUUCAAAAAUUUAGAUUUAAUAUAAUAUAUUUUAAAAUAUUGAAAAAAAAAUAAUUGUUUCGGGUUCAAAUUUUAGGGUUCGGGUUCAUGCUCGGGUUUCGAAUUUUUGGUCGGGUUCGAGUUUGGAUAUGAAUAUUUAAAAUCCGUCGGGUUUGAGUUCAGGUUCAGAUUUCGGGUUUGAAAUCGGGUUUGGAUUCGGAUUUUUAAAAAUCCACCCCGAAUCCGAUCCAUUGACAUCUCUAACUAUAUUAGCUGUUGGAGAUCGAUUGGGAAAAAUACACAGUAAUGAUCUUACUCCAAAGUGCAUCUUCUUUUCUUGUGCACGUGUUAUAUGAAAACGAAUAAAAUAUUAUUUAAAAAUAUUUGUAUUUAUAUAUGAUAUUAUUUAUAUUUGGAUAGAAAAUAUUAAAAUAGAAAUGAUUAUGAUUUUAAAAAAAUUAUAAUUAUUCAGAUAUUCAAAAAAUGAAUAUAGAUAUGAAUAACCAAAUAUUUUAAUAGUAUUAUAUUUUAUAGUAAUAAAUUAAAUUAUAAUAUUAUUUGAUUCCUAAUAUGUGUGUGGGAAAUAAAUAUUUAAGAAAAGCAAAGAGAAUUUGAAUUUGUUUAUGCAUAACUUAAUUCCUGUAUAAAUUAGAUUUAUAGAUCACUUGCACAGUUGCACUAGAUCAAAUAUCUUAUUUUGAGACAAACGUAGUACAUCAUCUGCUUCAUUUAUAAAAAAAAAAUACAUUAGGUUAUAACGAGUGAGGUAACUGUGCCUCGAGAUAAAGUGUGAAAUAAUAAUAAUAAAAAAAAAACUACAGUUGUUUUUUUUUUUUUGAGAAUAAGAUAGCAAGCUAUCUGCUUCAUUUAUUAAGCGAAAUGUACUAAGCGUACAAGUUGAAGACAGCUAGGGUCUGCUAAAAGGUCCGAACGGAUACAAGAAAGACCGACAAACAGAUACGAGAAAGGCCCAAAAAAAAAAAAAAAAGUUGAAGGGUCAAGGGAUCUCAGUUGUUGAAAUCAACAUGUUCAUAGCUAGACUGUGCGAUCAUUGGAGUCAGUUCAUCAGUACUCGCCCGCAGUACCCGGAUCUCAUCCCACAACCUCUCUAAACAUCGCAGCCUCUCUAAAUAUCGCAUAUGAAAUAGCAACCGACGAGAAUCAACUCUUUGGCCCUAAAAAUGUCUUUUGUUUUUCUCCAACCACGGGACCCAAUAAGUGGCAGCAAUAACGGAGAACCCCUUUUUCCACCGAGUGGCAGCAAUAAUGGAGAAACCCUUCUUCUUUGUUGUGCCCUCCUUCGAUCUAAACAGCUUCCAGAGCAGCUCCAACCACAGCUCCCGUCACAGGACCCACCAGAUCAAAUAUUACAGUUGCGUACACCAAUUUAAAAUUUGAAUAUACAUAUAUCAAACUUAAAUUUAAAUUUGGAUCUAUUAAUCCUUCUGAAAUCAAAGUUUAUUUCUCUUUCUACGGCUGCAACUAAAUGAGAAUCGAAAUGAAAUCCUUUCAAAUCAAAUAAAGAUAAUAGAAAUCAGUUGUUCUAAUUCCAGAUGAGCAUAAAUCUGACAUAUUUUCCAAUCCAGAGAUCAACAAUUUUACACUGGUCUGAUCACUUGAGCGUACAAGCAGAGUAUCCCCUGAGGCAAACUAAUUCCUAGGAUGGUAGUAAGGGAAGAUGGUGUAGAAGGUCUGCAGGAAGGUGAAAACAAGAACGAAAACUGCUGCGAUCAAGGAAAGGAUGGCCCACGGGUUGCCGAAAUAGUCCCUGACCAGCUUCGCCCUCCACUUGGGCCAAUCGGAAUCGCAGUACUUCCUCACGUCCCGGAACAACCCGGCGAGGUA
This 43886-nucleotide long non-coding RNA is filed under the name Ananas comosus (pineapple). Its description in RNAcentral is "long non-coding RNA (ACOM_LNC012671)". The record is from RNAcentral. Lineage: Eukaryota; Viridiplantae; Streptophyta; Magnoliopsida; Poales; Bromeliaceae.